CAGUAGCCGCGGGAAUACGUAGGGUGCAAGCGUUAAUCGGAAUUACUGGGCGUAAAGCGUGCGCAGGCGGCUUCUUAAGUCGGAUGUGAAAUCCCUGAGCUUAACUUAGGAAUUGCAUUCGAUACUGGGAAGCUAGAGUAUGGGAGAGGAUGGUAGAAUUCCAGGUGUAGCGGUGAAAUGCGUAGAGAUCUGGAGGAAUACCGAUGGCGAAGGCAGCCAUCUGGCCUAAUACUGACGCUGAGGUACGAAAGCAUGGGGAGCAAACAGGAUUAGAUACCCCGGUAGUCCCUGUCUCUUAUAC
RNAcentral lists this ribosomal RNA (301 nucleotides) under uncultured bacterium. RNAcentral describes it as "partial 16S ribosomal RNA". It matches the Rfam family "Bacterial small subunit ribosomal RNA", at positions 509 to 807 of the family's 1533-position model. The record is from RNAcentral.